CAGAACUCAAUCAGAAGCAUAAAUUUAGAUAGUAGUUUGUCUUUAUCAUAAGGAAAAUAUACAGAGAAAAACUAUAAGUUCCCUACUAGCACAGCUCCAUCAAGCUUCACUCUUAUUGUAGUAAGAUCCUUGGAACAGAAAUCCUAUAUGGGUGAAAUAUUUAUAUUAUUUUUAACAAAAACACAAGUCUGAGGAACAAUAUCAGAAGUAAAAGUAAAUAACCUACCCUCUUUACAGUUAAAUCCUUAUAUUUGUCCUUUUAUAGUGCCAUGAGUCUUGAAUAAGAGCAAGGUCAUAAUAGCCCCCCCCAUGAGCUACCAAUCCAAAAGGGCAGAAGUAGUUCAGGAAUGCUGAAGGUUGAUCUAAAUCACUCUCAGAGCCAUAACACAAUAGAUGCCUAAGGAGAGCAUAUUUCCAUGCUAUCUCCAAAAUCUGGGUACCAGAAAGUCCAAAUAAACCUUUUGGAAUCUCAAUCCUAGCUGGUGAGCCCCACUAGUUUAUGUCCCUUUCCAGGAGCAAUCAUCGAAGCUUUCAAUCAUUCAGACUUGGAAUUAACAUCCAAAAGUACUAUAAAGAUUUCUUUGUCAAUCCCAGUAAGAAUUUUAAAAUUGGCUAGCCUUACCUGAAGCAAGAUCAGUAACACAUCAUCAUAAUGAAGAGCUGUAUUUUUUGCAACUUUGCUUCAAGCCAAAAUCCUCCAGUUCUCAAUUUUAAGACUUUGAUUAUAGAUCCUGAAAUGAGCCAAGAUUUAAUUAACAUUCUUUAUCUGUACAUUUGCAAUGCAGAAUGCCACUUUCACUGUCUUGGGAAGGUCUUCACUGGAAUAACUCUUAAAUGGAUUCUUUUCCCAAGAACAUUCUCAUCCAAAAAUUGGGUGAGCCACUGAUAUAUGAAC
Molecule: long non-coding RNA, 895 nt
Filed under: Androctonus crassicauda
Lineage: Eukaryota; Metazoa; Arthropoda; Arachnida; Scorpiones; Buthidae
Source: RNAcentral